This 484-nucleotide long non-coding RNA is filed under the name Struthio camelus australis. RNAcentral's name for it is "lncRNA (ENSSCUG00000010755.1)". Lineage: Eukaryota; Metazoa; Chordata; Aves; Struthioniformes; Struthionidae. The record is from RNAcentral.
AUUUUAAAUUAAAAAAUAUAAAUUCUUUCCAAGCAGAAAAGAAGGUUCUAGUGAAGAAAGUCUCCAAAAAGGUGGUUAAAAAAGGUCCUGAAGAGAUUCUGCCACCUAAAGUUCCUGAAGUGCCAAAGAAGCCCAAAGAGAUCACAAUAACAUCUAUGGCAAGGAGAGAAGGGAUUCUUGAAGAAAAAGAGGACAUAUAUGAAGAACCUAAACAGCCUUAUGAAGAAUGGGAAGAAGACUACGGAGAAGAUCAUGAUUAUUAUUUCAAGGAAGAAGGUUAUGAUGAAGGAGAAGCGGAAUGGGAAGAGGCUUAUGAAAAAAGAGAAGUAACUUAUGAAGAAAAACAAGUCAUUCAUGAAGAAGUGGUUGACGUUCCUAAGAAGCCUGUGCCCGAGCGAAAACUGCCAGCAUUUACAGCUGAAAAGAAAGAAAAGAAAGAAGUGACAGUUCAAAAAGGUAUGACUUUACUGCAAAACUAACAGGA